This 1513-nucleotide long non-coding RNA is filed under the name Citrus x clementina. RNAcentral describes it as "Citrus clementina (C. clementina) long non-coding RNA (CCLE_LNC005839)". The record is from RNAcentral. Lineage: Eukaryota; Viridiplantae; Streptophyta; Magnoliopsida; Sapindales; Rutaceae.
GAAUGGCCCCAGACUUGGCGGGCGGCCUCCGUGUGCCAAAAAUAGGCCACGGGCACAGCCGCGCCCAAAAAUCAGCCCCCGAAGGUCGGGGUCACAAGACCCCCCAGCGGAAAAAUGGCCAAGAAACGCAUGGGCUAUAGCCUUGGUGGGGGGCGUGGGCGAAGUUCGUCCGCGGGACUCGGAAUGGCCCCAGACUUGGCGGGCGGCCUCCGUGUGCCAAAAAUAGGCCACGGGCACAGCCGCGCCCAAAAAUCAGCCCCCGAAGGUCGGGGUCCCAAGACCCCCCAGCGGAAAAAUGGCCAAGAAACGGGUGGGCUAUAGCCUUGGUGGGGGGCGUGGGCGAAGUUCGUCCGCGGGACUCGGAAUGGCCCCAACCUUGGCGGGCAGCCUCCGUGUGCCAAAAAUAGGCCACGGGCACAGCCGCGCCCAAAAAUCAGCCCCCGAAGGUCGGGGUCACAAGACCCCCCAGCGGAAAAAUGGCCAAGAAACGCAUGGGCUAUAGCCUUGGUGGGGGGCGUGGGCGAAGUUCGUCCGCGGGACUCGGAAUGGCCCCAGAUUUGGCGGGCGCCCUCCGUGUGCCAAAAAUAGGCCACGGGCACAGCCGCGCCCAAAAAUCAGCCCCCGAAGGUCGGGGUCCCAAGACCCCCCAGCGGAAAAAUGGCCAAGAAACGCGUGGGCUAUAGCCUUGGUGGGGGGCGUGGGCGAAGUUCGUCCGCGGGACUCGGAAUGGCCCCAGACUUGGCGGGCGGCCUCCGUGUGCCAAAAAUAGGCCACGGGCACAGCCGCGCCCAAAAAUCAGCCCCCGAAGGUCGGGGUCACAAGACCCCCCAGCGGAAAAAUGGCCAAGAAACGGGUGGGCUAUAGCCUUGGUGGGGGGCGUGGGCGAAGUUCGUCCGCGGGACUCGGAAUGGCCCCAGACUUGGCGGGCGGCCUCCGUGUGCCAAAAAUAGGCCACGGGCACAGCCGCGCCCAAAAAUCAGCCCCCGAAGGUCGGGGUCCCAAGACCUCCCAGCGGAAAAAUGGCCAAGAAACGCGUGGGCUAUAGCCUUGGUGGGGGGCGUGGGCGAAGUUCGUCCGCGGGACUCGGAAUGGCCCCAGACUUGGCGGGCGGCCUCCGUGUGCCAAAAAUAGGCCACGGGCACAGCCGCGCCCAAAAAUCAGCUCCCGAAGGUCGGGGUCCCAAGACCCCCCAGCGGAAAAAUGGCCAAGAAACGGGUGGGCUAUAGCCUUGGUGGGAGGCGUGGGCGAAGUUCGUCCGCGGGACUCGGAAUGGCCCCAGACUUGGCGGGCGGCCUCCGUGUGCCAAAAAUAGGCCACGGGCACUGCCGCGCCCAAAAAUCAGCCCCCGAAGGUCGGGGUCCCAAGACCCCCCAGCGGAAAAAAGGCCAAGAAACGCGUGGGCUAUAGCCUUGGUUGGGGGCGUGGGCGAAGUUCGUCCGCGGGACUCGGAAUGGCCCCAGACUUGGCGGGCGGCCUCCGUGUGCCAAAAAUAGGCCACGGGCACAGCCGCGCC